GACGAACGCUGGCGGCGUGCCUAAUACAUGCAAGUUGAGCGCUGAAGGUUGGUACUUGUACCAACUGGAUGAGCAGCGAACGGGUGAGUAACGCGUGGGGAAUCUGCCUUUGAGCGGGGGACAACAUUUGGAAACGAAUGCUAAUACCGCAUAAAAACUUUAAACACAAGGUUUAAGUUUGAAAGAUGCAAUUGCAUCACUCAAAGAUGAUCCCGCGUUGUAUUAGCUAGUUGGUGAGGUAAAGGCUCACCAAGGCGAUGAUACAUAGCCGACCUGAGAGGGUGAUCGGCCACAUUGGGACUGAGACACGGCCCAAACUCCUACGGGAGGCAGCAGUAGGGAAGCCUCGGCAAUGGACGAAAGUCUGACCGAGCAACGCCGCGGGAGUGAAGAAGGUUUUCGGAUCGUAAAACUCUGUUGGUAGAGAAGAACGUUGGUGAGAGUGGAAAGCUCAUCAAGUGACGGUAACUACCCAGAAAGGGACGGCUAACUACGUG
RNAcentral lists this ribosomal RNA (497 nucleotides) under uncultured bacterium. RNAcentral's name for it is "partial 16S ribosomal RNA". It matches the Rfam family "Bacterial small subunit ribosomal RNA", at positions 28 to 507 of the family's 1533-position model. The record is from RNAcentral.